AUUGAACGCUGGCGGCAUGCCUUACACAUGCAAGUCGAACGGCAGCACGGGAGCAAUCCUGGUGGCGAGUGGCGAACGGGUGAGUAAUAUAUCGGAACGUGCCCAGUCGUGGGGGAUAACGCAGCGAAAGUUGUGCUAAUACCGCAUACGAUCUAUGGAUGAAAGCGGGGGAUCGCAAGACCUCGCGCGAUUGGAGCGGCCGAUAUCAGAUUAGGUUGUUGGUGAGGUAAAAGCUCACCAAGCCUGCGAUCUGUAGCUGGUCUGAGAGGACGACCAGCCACACUGGAACUGAGACACGGUCCAGACUCCUACGGGGGGCAGCAGUGGGGGAAGUUUUAGGUACGAAUGGACGGAAAGUACUGAUCCA
RNAcentral lists this ribosomal RNA (367 nucleotides) under uncultured bacterium. RNAcentral describes it as "bacterial SSU rRNA". It matches the Rfam family "Bacterial small subunit ribosomal RNA", at positions 30 to 390 of the family's 1533-position model. The record is from RNAcentral.